CAUCACCAAGUUUAAGUGGACUUAAGUUGGGGUUCGAGUCCAUUUAUAAGAUCCCUUUUGCUGAUGCUCUGGAUUUGUUUCGAGGAAGGAAAGUCUAUUUGGAAGAUGGCUUUGCUUACGUACCACUUAAGGACAUUGUGGCAAUCAUCCUGAAUGAAUUUAGAGCCAAACUGUCUAAGGCUUUGGCAAUAUGGGGUCUUGCCAUGUUGCCCAGGCUGGUCUUGAACUCCUAGCCUCAAGUGAUCCACCCACCUCAGCCUCCCAAAGUGCUGGGAUUAUAGGCACGAGGCACCGUGCCUGGGCCCUGUACUCUGAUUGUCUGAAUAAAAAGUCUCUGGGGAUGGACCCUAGGUGAUUCAUAGGCACACUGAAAUCUGAGAACCAGGUACAGGAAAUAAAAUUAUUUGAAAUGC
RNAcentral lists this small RNA (413 nucleotides) under Pongo abelii (Sumatran orangutan). RNAcentral describes it as "processed transcript". The record is from RNAcentral. Lineage: Eukaryota; Metazoa; Chordata; Mammalia; Primates; Hominidae.